This 23-nucleotide small nuclear RNA is filed under the name Arabidopsis thaliana (thale cress). Its description in RNAcentral is "snRNA_07561". The record is from RNAcentral. Lineage: Eukaryota; Viridiplantae; Streptophyta; Magnoliopsida; Brassicales; Brassicaceae.
UCCACUCAUUGCUAAUUGGUUUU